UACGUAGGGUGCGAGCGUUGCCCGGAUUUAUUGGGCGUAAAGGGCGCGUAGGCGGCUCGGCACGUCCGUUGUGAAAUCGCCCGGCUCAACUGGGCGGGGUCAGCGGAUACGGCCGAGCUUGAGCAAGCUAGGGGGCAAUGGAAUUCCCGGUGUAGUGGUGGAAUGCGCAGAUAUCAGGAAGAACACCCGUGGCGAAGGCGGCUUUCUGGGACGGUACUGACGCUGAGACGCGAAAGCGUGGGGAGCGAACAGG
This 253-nucleotide ribosomal RNA is filed under the name uncultured bacterium. Its description in RNAcentral is "partial 16S ribosomal RNA". It matches the Rfam family "Bacterial small subunit ribosomal RNA", at positions 524 to 776 of the family's 1533-position model. The record is from RNAcentral.